RNAcentral lists this unclassified non-coding RNA (239 nucleotides) under plant metagenome. RNAcentral's name for it is "partial contains small subunit ribosomal RNA and internal transcribed spacer 1". The stretch from base 1 to 47 matches the Rfam family "Eukaryotic small subunit ribosomal RNA", at positions 1785 to 1831 of the family's 1831-position model. The record is from RNAcentral.
AAUGUCGUAACAAGGUUUCCGUAGGUGAACCUGCGGAAGGAUCAUUAAUGAGUUAGGGUUCUCCGGGCCCGGACCUCCGACCCUUUCGUUGUCACAAAAUCCAAUUUGUUGCUUUGGCGUGGACCGCCCGCGUGGGCUGCCGGUCUUAGGCCCGGCAUGCGCCCGCCAGAGGAAAACCCAAAGCUCUUGUUUAUCAAAUCCGUACGUCUGAGUAAAAAGUGAUUAAAUUCAAUCAAAAU